RNAcentral lists this ribosomal RNA (397 nucleotides) under uncultured Glomeromycotina. RNAcentral's name for it is "SSU rRNA". It matches the Rfam family "Eukaryotic small subunit ribosomal RNA", at positions 569 to 971 of the family's 1831-position model. Lineage: Eukaryota; Fungi; Glomeromycota. The record is from RNAcentral.
AGCAGCCGCGGUAAUUCCAGCUCCAAUAGCGUAUAUUAAAGUUGUUGCAGUUAAAAAGCUCGUAGUUGAAUUUCGGGGUUCUAUCGUUGGUCGGGCUAUCCAGUCUGUACUAGCGUGUAGAAUUCUUACCUUCUGGGGAACCAUCAUGUUAUUAAUUUAGCGUGGUGGGAAACCAGGACCUUCACCUUGAAAAAAUUAGAGUGUUCAAAGCAGGCUUACGUCUGAAUACACUAGCACGGAAUAAUAGAAUAGGACGGUGGUCCUGUUUUGUUGGUUUCUGAAUCACCGUAAUGAUUAAUAGGGAUAGUUGGGGGCAUUAGUAUUCAAUUGUCAGAGGUGAAAUUCUUGGAUUUAUUGAAGACUAGCUUCUGCGAAAGCAUUUGCCAAGGAUGUUUUC